AACGAACGCUGGCGGCAUGCCUAACACAUGCAAGUCGAACGAGACCUUCGGGUCUAGUGGCGCACGGGUGCGUAACGCGUGGGAACCUGCCCUUAGGUUCGGAAUAACUCCCCGAAAGGGGUGCUAAUACCGGAUAAUGUCUUCGGACCAAAGAUUUAUCGCCUUUGGAUGGGCCCGCGUUGGAUUAGCUAGUUGGUAGGGUAAAAGCCUACCAAGGCGACGAUCCAUAGCUGGUCUGAGAGGAUGAUCAGCCACACUGGGACUGAGACACGGCCCAGACUCCUACGGGAAGGAGCAGUGGGGAAUAUUGGACAAUGGGCGAAAGCCUGAUCCAGCAAUGCCGCGUGAGUGAUGAAGGCCUUAGGGUUGUAAAGCUAUUUUACCCGGGAUGAUAAUGACAGUACCGGGAGAAUAAGCUCCGGCUAACUCCGUG
This 433-nucleotide ribosomal RNA is filed under the name uncultured bacterium. Its description in RNAcentral is "partial 16S ribosomal RNA". It matches the Rfam family "Bacterial small subunit ribosomal RNA", at positions 29 to 507 of the family's 1533-position model. The record is from RNAcentral.